Gossypium arboreum is the source of this 696-nucleotide long non-coding RNA. RefSeq lists it as uncharacterized. The transcript has 2 exons. The record is from RefSeq and is a predicted model, not a curated record. NCBI's taxonomy places the organism in Eukaryota, Viridiplantae, Streptophyta, Magnoliopsida, Malvales, Malvaceae.
AAUAAAAGAAAGAGGCCAACCAGAGGUCCUAAGAGUGUAUUUUUGUAUUACUUCUAACAAGUAUUUUUGGGAUAAAAGCAGUUUUUUUAGAAGAAAAAAAAUACUUCUCCUAUAAAAAAUUGACACAAGAAUAAUUUUUGAGAAGUUUGAAAAUUUUAUCCCGAAAAUGUUUUUUUUUUUUUCGGAAAGCACGAAUCAUUGCAGAACUAGCUUUAAAAAUGGACACAAUUGCCCUUAACUUUGAUUCGUUAGCACUGCUCUCAAAUUUAUCAACUUAUCCUAAAUCUCCUUUUCCACAGGUACGAACCCCAUUCAUAUCAUCCACCUGUCGACGUAUCUCUAAACCAAACUCCACAAUCUCGACGAUGGCUCACUCUCAUUCUGCCCAAAGCCCAGUGAUUGAGCAGCAGAGAAUGAUAAUUCCGAACAAGCAUGGUGAAAAACUGGUGGGAUUAUUGCAUGAAACCGAGUCUAAAGAGAUUGUAAUCUUAUGCCAUGGUUUCAAUUCCACAAAGGUCAGUUGGGUCAUUUCAUCUCUUUCACCUUGCUUUCUUUAGUAAAUAUAUAGUUGGUGUCAGCUAUACAACUCGAAGCUUUCCUACACUCGGUCUUUGAAUCUUUGUAACACAAGCAGGGGCGAAUCCAGAACAAAUUUUUAGGGGGGCAAAUGAAAAUUUAAUUUUUUAUAGUCUAUAA